GAUGAACGCUGGCGGCGUGCCUAAUACAUGCAAGUCGAGCGAACAGACGAGGAGCUUGCUCCUCUGACGUUAGCGGCGGACGGGUGAGUAACACGUGGAUAACCUACUUAUAAGACUGGGAUAACUUCGGGAAACCGGAGCUACUACCGGAUAACAUGUUCAACCGCAUGGUUUAAUAGUGGUAGACGGUCUUGCUGUCACUGAUAGAUGUAUUCGCACCGCAUUAGCUAGUUGGUAAGGUAACGGCUUACCAAGGCAACGAUGCGUAGCCGACCUGAGAGGGUGAUCAGCCACACUGGAACUGAGCCACGGUCCAGACUCCUACGGGAGGCAGCAGUAGGGAAUCUUCCGCAAUGGGCGAAAGCCUGACGGAGCAACGCCGCGUGAGUGAAGAAGGUCUUCGGAUCGUAAAACUCUGUUAUUAGGGAAGAACAAAUGUGUAAGUAACUAUGCACGUCUUGACGGUACCUAAUCAGAAAGCCACGGCUAACUACGUG
RNAcentral lists this ribosomal RNA (497 nucleotides) under uncultured bacterium. RNAcentral's name for it is "partial 16S ribosomal RNA". It matches the Rfam family "Bacterial small subunit ribosomal RNA", at positions 28 to 507 of the family's 1533-position model. The record is from RNAcentral.